UCUUACUCUCUCUAUCUCUGACUCAAUGAAUGUUGGAAUAUAAAAUAACUUGACUUUUGCACCACCGUCAUGAUCAAUUCUCUUUCUUCUCACAUGUUUCUCUCUUGUUAAUCUUCACCGGCCAAAAUUUCUUCUCGUAAUUAUUUAUCGAUGCGACGAUGCUGGUCUCCCUUUCUUUCUCAUAUCCUUCGCCCUUCACAGUUUUUAUGGGUCUUUUAUUCACUAUAGCAUCCUCACGUCUUGA
This 244-nucleotide long non-coding RNA is filed under the name Glycine max (soybean). RNAcentral's name for it is "long non-coding RNA (GMAX_LNC000694)". Lineage: Eukaryota; Viridiplantae; Streptophyta; Magnoliopsida; Fabales; Fabaceae. The record is from RNAcentral.